RNAcentral lists this ribosomal RNA (776 nucleotides) under uncultured Neocallimastigales. Its description in RNAcentral is "partial large subunit ribosomal RNA". It matches the Rfam family "Eukaryotic large subunit ribosomal RNA", at positions 24 to 645 of the family's 3401-position model. The record is from RNAcentral. Lineage: Eukaryota; Fungi; Neocallimastigomycota; Neocallimastigomycetes; Neocallimastigales.
UACGACUACAUAUCAGGCAUAUCAAUAAGCGGAGGAAAAGAAACUAACUAGGAUUCCCUCAGUAACGGCGAGUGAAGCGGGAAGAGCUCAAAUUUGAAAUCUUCAAGGUUUUACCUUGACGAAUUGUAGUUUAAAGAAGUGUUUUCUGUUGGUGUUUCGGUAAAAGUUCUUUGGAAUAGGACAUCAUAGAGGGUGAGAAUCCCGUAUUUGACCAUUACUUCCAGCGUUGUGAUACACUUUCAAAGAGUCGGAUUGUUUGGGAAUGCAGUCCAAAAUGGGUGGUAAAUUUCAUCUAAAGCUAAAUAUUGGCGAGAGACCGAUAGCGAACAAGUACCGUGAGGGAAAGAUGAAAAGAACUUUGAGAAGAGAGUUAAACAGUACGUGAAAUUGUCAAAAGGGAAGCGUUUGACACCAGUGUUGUUUUUCUCGAAAAUCAAUUACAAAUGGGUUAUUUUGUAGGAGUUAUGACUUCAUCAGCUUGCUGCACUUUCUUUAUGUACUUUCUUAAUGCACUUUUCGUUUAACAAGUCAACAUCAAUUUCUUUUGUUGUAAAAGAGUAUGAAGAAGGUGGCUUUCUUUUCGGAGAAAGUGUUUAUAGCCUUGUGCCUCUGCAAUCGGAGAGAUUGAGGUCUGCAGCGUAGAUCCUUCGGGGUUAGAUACGUUUGUGCUAAGUUAUAGUUUUUCAUAGACAACAUGUUGACUAUGAUUAAUCAUGUAGCUUACUCGCUUAUGCUAUUUUACCUACGCUUAGGAUGUUGAUCUCUCACAGUCGAGC